GUGAAUUCCAUUUUCACGGUUUUGUCAUCAUGAACUUUUCAGUGUGCUUCUUAGAAUAGAGCAUACAGUUUAUUUAUGGAAUCGUGCUGUCCUGCACGGAGAUUCUUCUGCCAAUGCUGACCUUUAUGCUUUAUCCAUGACGAAAGAGGGACUUCCACCAACAUCCUUAUCUUCGCGACGCACGCUCAUCUAGCUUCACUGCUUCUAAACACAAUUGUUUUUACUUCACUGACGACUUGGCGAGUUUCUGGACCACUUCAUGAUCGCUUCCGUCCGUUGUGCAGUCACUCACCACGGGAUUAUGUCCAGGUAAUGCAGAGGAGACGUCGAGAAGAUGGAUUUUGUCAUCUUUAACGGUCGUCAUCGGUCUCCGUCGGAUGUUGCCCCUUCUCCUGGUGCGAACGAAACUCGGUCGAAUCGCGACCGACACCGAGACUCGUCAUCAACGUGGAUCAUCGUAUUGUUGGUAUUAUUUCGUUUGUGUUAGUGUUAGUUAACCCGUUGUCUGCCACGCCUUUGUUCUCCCCUGCACGGGCCGCGCUGUUCGCUCU
Daphnia pulex (common water flea) is the source of this 551-nucleotide long non-coding RNA. RefSeq lists it as uncharacterized. The transcript is spliced from 3 exons. The record is from RefSeq and is a predicted model, not a curated record. NCBI's taxonomy places the organism in Eukaryota, Metazoa, Arthropoda, Branchiopoda, Diplostraca, Daphniidae.